AUCCCUGUAGCACAAUAGGUAGUCCUUUGAACUUCUAACCCAAAAGUUGUGGGUUCGAAUCCCACCUGGAAUG
This is a non-coding RNA of Trichonephila inaurata madagascariensis, 73 nucleotides long. The record is from the annotation of a GenBank genome assembly. NCBI's taxonomy places the organism in Eukaryota, Metazoa, Arthropoda, Arachnida, Araneae, Nephilidae.